GACGAACGCUGGCGGCGUGCUUAACACAUGCAAGUCGAACGGAAAGGCCCUGCUUUUGUGGGGUGCUCGAGUGGCGAACGGGUGAGUAACACGUGAGUAACCUGCCCUUGACUUUGGGAUAACUUCAGGAAACUGGGGCUAAUCCCGGAUAGGAGCUCCUGCUGCAUGGUGGGGGUUGGAAAGUUUCGGCGGUUGGGGAUGGACUCGCGGCUUAUCAGCUUGUUGGUGGGGUAGUGGCUUACCAAGGCUUUGACGGGUAGCCGGCCUGAGAGGGUGACCGGCCACAUUGGGACUGAGAGACGGCCCAGACUCCUACGGGAGGCAGCAGUGGGGAAUAUUGCACAAUGGGCGGAAGCCUGAUGCAGCAACGCCGCGUGCGGGAUGACGGCCUUCGGGUUGUAAACCGCUUUCGCCUGUGACGAAGCGUGAGUGACGGUAAUGGGUAAAGAAGCACCGGCUAACUACGUG
RNAcentral lists this ribosomal RNA (468 nucleotides) under uncultured bacterium. RNAcentral describes it as "partial 16S ribosomal RNA". It matches the Rfam family "Bacterial small subunit ribosomal RNA", at positions 28 to 507 of the family's 1533-position model. The record is from RNAcentral.